Molecule: ribosomal RNA, 497 nt
Filed under: uncultured bacterium
Lineage: Bacteria
Description: partial 16S ribosomal RNA
Rfam family: Bacterial small subunit ribosomal RNA
Source: RNAcentral
GAUGAACGCUGGCGGCGUGCCUAAUACAUGCAAGUCGAGCGAACAGACGAGUAGCUUGCUCCUCUGACGUUAGCGGCGGACGGGUGAGUAACACGUGGAUAACCUACCUAUAAUACUGGGAUAACUUCGGGAAACCGGAGCUAAUACCGGAUAAUAUAUUGAACCGCAUGGUUCAAUAGUGAAAGACGGUUUUGCUGUCACUUAUAGAUGGUUCCGCGCCGCAUUAGCUAGUUGGUAAGGUAACGGCUUACCAAGGCAACGAUGCGUAGCCGACCUGAGAGGAUGAUCGGCCACACUGGAACUGAGACACGGUCCAGACUCCUACGGGAGGCAGCAGUAGGGAAUCUUCCGCAAUGGGCGAAAGCCUGACGGAGCAACGCCGCGUGAGUGAUGAAGGUCUUCGGAUCGUAAAACUCUGUUAUUAGGGAAGAACAAAUGUGUAAGUAAAUAUGCACGUCUUGACGGUACCUAAUCAGAAAGCAACGGCUAACUACGUG